RNAcentral lists this ribosomal RNA (247 nucleotides) under uncultured Actinomycetes bacterium. Its description in RNAcentral is "uncultured actinobacterium partial 16S ribosomal RNA". It matches the Rfam family "Bacterial small subunit ribosomal RNA", at positions 28 to 276 of the family's 1533-position model. The record is from RNAcentral. Lineage: Bacteria; Bacillati; Actinomycetota; Actinomycetes.
GACGAACGCUGGCGGCGUGCUUAACACAUGCAAGUCGAGCGGUAAGGCCCUUUCGGGGGUACACGAGCGGCGAACGGGUGAGUAACACGUGGGUGACCCGCCUCUAGCUCUGGGAUAAGCCUGGGAAACUGGGUCUAAUACCGGAUAUGACUCCACGGCGCAUGUUGUGGGGUGGAAAGCCUUGUGUGGCUAGAGAUGGGCCCGCGGCCUAUCAGCUUGUUGGUGGGGUGAUGGCCUACCAAGGCGA